Molecule: ribosomal RNA, 379 nt
Filed under: uncultured Geobacillus sp.
Lineage: Bacteria; Bacillati; Bacillota; Bacilli; Caryophanales; Anoxybacillaceae
Description: bacterial SSU rRNA
Rfam family: Bacterial small subunit ribosomal RNA
Source: RNAcentral
AGAUUAGACUUUUCGCUUUCGGGCGACAAUGGAUACAGGUGGUGCAUGGUUGUCGUCAGCUCGUGCCGUGAGGUGUUGGGUUAAGUCCCGCAACGAGCGCAACCCUCGCCUCUAGUUGCCAGCAUUCGGUUGGGCACUCUAGAGGGACUGCCGGCGACAAGUCGGAGAAGUGGGGAUGACGUCAAAUCAUCAUGCCCCUUAUGACCUGGGCUACACACGUGCUACAAUGGGCGGUACAAAGGGCUGCGAACCCGCGAGGGGGAGCGAAUCCCAAAAAGCCGCUCUCAGUUCGGAUUGCAGGCUGCAACUCGCCUGCAUGAAGCCGGAAUCGCUAGUAAUCGCGGAUCAGCACGCCGCGGUGAAUACGUUCCCGGGCCUU